This is a long non-coding RNA of Penaeus monodon (black tiger shrimp), 333 nucleotides long. RefSeq lists it as uncharacterized. The transcript has 3 exons. The record is from RefSeq and is a predicted model, not a curated record. Lineage: Eukaryota; Metazoa; Arthropoda; Malacostraca; Decapoda; Penaeidae.
UCACGAGGACCAGGUUUAGUGUGGUCUGGAGAGAAACUGAGAGGUUCUCCCGGCCACUGGCAUGACAUCAGUGCCACAUCCGGUCCUCCGUUUUGUGUGGCCGCCACUGCACUGAGCAAAAGCAAAGUUGUGGACCUGAGCAAUACCUGGAAGUGAGAACAGCUCUCCAAGUUCUUGGAUACUGGACUGUGGCCAUACUUCCUGCGGCUGCAAUAUCCAGCGAAUGAUAUUCGUGGCGCAUACCCGUGGACGAAGCUGUGACGGUAUAUUGGUGGCCGGGCGAUACUUCGGGAGCGCGAAUCAUCGGGCCCGGCAUGUGAAUAUCCUCGGGGU